CUCCUCAGAACACGGCUUCUACAGCCUCCCUCGACCUCGUAGGAGUGCAGCGUGAGAAGCCGGGAGAUCACCAUGAUGGAAAACACACUUUUUCCUUAAGGCUAACUGCAGGAGAGACCCUGUCUGCAGUGCCAUCUGCAGGACAGACUGGGAGCUGGCGGGGCACCCUGAGCAGCUGGACAGCCCCCAGUCUGAGCCCAGAGCUCAAAGCCAGACCCUCAGGCUUCCUGGCUGAGCGCAAUGCUGAGAGGGUACCCGGCAUGCCAGCUCCACUCAGACUCCACAGCGGUACCCCGCCCGCCUGGCUGCAGGAGACACAAGUGUGCACCUAUAGCUUCCCGCAGCCCGUGCGGCUCCCACAGACGGCUGGCCUCGCAGAGCAAACUGCAGAAGGCUCCCACCGACUGUCCUGCUCAGGCCAGAUCCACAGUGAGUGAACCUGGCUUCCCUGUGCACACACCAGGAAGCCUGCCUGAUGCGCGCACGCCCUCCCUCCCUCUCCAAGAUGCAGCGGCCAGACCCCUCCUCCACUUUCCCCACCUCCAUCCUCCCUGGUUCCCCCAGUCCAAGGACCAGCUAGCUCCCUGCAAGCAGGGAGGGGAGGAGCCUUACUGUCCCAGAGAGGCUGGGAGUCAGGAUGUCACCCAGACACACGCCCACAGACCAGACACACACACACAGACAUAGUGCACAGACCCCACACGAGGCCUGGUGCCUGAGACAUCACUCACGUCAUGACAGGGGUGGCAGCCACAAUUGUGGUAUCUGGAUAAUUACCCACUCCUGCAGGGCCUACAGGUUCCCAUGUAGGAUUCAGAUGAUGUGCUGCUGAGUCAACAGGCUUAGUCCAGGACACAGUGGCUUCUAAGUGAUCAGGGCAGCCAUUUCUCCUGGUCUGUGCCUCCAGUCUCAUGCCCAGGGCAGACAGAUGCAGUGAGCCAGAUCAUGGGAACCAGUCCUCCCCUAUUCACCCCGUACAUCCUGGUCCCUCCUGCCUCCCAGUAUCCAAAUCCCACAUCAACAUAAGGAAGAGGUGAGGUAUUCCAAAGGAGGCCUGGGGCACCAGUGCUUGGAGAAGAUUCCCGGGCAGCUAGGCCCUAAAUUCACCCCACCUCUCUGUUCUGACAGGUCUGGGCCUCGAGGCAAAAGCAGAGCUGGCACCAAGCCUCAGGGCUACAAGCGAGGACACCCUGCUAUCUGGCCGUUCAGGACCAACUUCUGGAACAGCUGGUUCCUCAUCCAGGGAUGGGCCCCACCGAGGUCAGAGCCUGCUCAAGUCACACCCUUAGCACUGUCUCAAUGUGGCUCAUCUGGUCCCACGUCUUGCCACCCCUACUGUGGGACAGGAAGCAGCCCUUCGACUGAGUCUCCGGGUGAGGAGGACAGGGGUGCUGGCUGGCAUUACCUGUGAGUCAUCUGGGCAGGGCCAGGGCUGCAGCAGCAAGGCCCACGCCCUCAUACCCUGGCCAAGAUGGCUUCCUCUCUGCUUGAAGAGCGUGAGCUUGGGUUGAACAGAUGCGGCCAUGAGCUCACAGCCCGCUCUGCAAGGGAAGCCCAAGCUGAUCUGCCCGCUCUGCAAGGCGCCUCGGGAGAGGUUUUGUUUUCUACACCCGUCCUUACCGUGUCUAACCAAGAGGUGGAAUGACCUGUCCCUUUUUGGCAGCAGCAACAGUAAUCUGUCACACCU
Molecule: long non-coding RNA, 1687 nt
Organism: Bos mutus (wild yak)
Lineage: Eukaryota; Metazoa; Chordata; Mammalia; Artiodactyla; Bovidae
Source: Ensembl